Brienomyrus brachyistius is the source of this 579-nucleotide long non-coding RNA. RefSeq lists it as uncharacterized. The record is from RefSeq and is a predicted model, not a curated record. NCBI's taxonomy places the organism in Eukaryota, Metazoa, Chordata, Actinopteri, Osteoglossiformes, Mormyridae. The transcript is spliced from 3 exons.
UUGCCAGAUUGUGUUUAUUGUUUCAGCUACCCUAGUUUAUAACAUUUCAUGUUACAUAAUCACAUUUAAAAGUACACAAUUGAUUAUCUACAAACUGAACGAUAAUUACAUUAAUUAAUUCUAUUAAACGACUUCACCCCUUAAAAAGUCCGCUUCCGUAGUCUUUCAUUCCCGGGGCAUUUCGGGAUAUGUAGUACGUGUCAUAUAAUGGUAACACAGCGCUAAGCAGCUGCCGGUCUCUUUAUCUCUGCCCACCAAGGAAGGCGGACGUGUUCUUCUGUGCUUGAAUGAAGGCUAAGAUGAAGGAACCAAUGAUUGCUGCAUCCUGGAAAUAGGAGCCAUGCGAAAGGGAUGGAUUGAGAUGUCCCACAAAAAAAUAACAGGACGCAAAAGAGGUUCCUCGUUGGCCCUAAAUGGUGAGCUGAUUUCCGGAAGCCUUCUUUUACCUUUGAAUGAUUUGCCCCUCUGAAAAUAGCCCAGCAUGUAAUGGCUAAAGUGAUGUUUGUGAAGUUAAAAGCUUGUCAGAGAAAAAGAUUCCAUGUCUGUGAUGCAAUUAAAGCUUUUUUUAUAAGUGUUAAA